UAGGGAAUCUUCCACAAUGGACGCAAGUCUGAUGGAGCAACGCCGCGUGAGUGAAGAAGGCUUUCGGGUCGUAAAACUCUGUUAUUGAAGAAGAACGUGUGUGACAGUAACUGGUCAUGCAGUGACGGUAUUCAAUCAGAAAGUCACGGCUAACUACGUGCCAGCAGCCGCGGUAAUACGUAGGUGGCAAGCGUUGUCCGGAUUUAUUGGGCGUAAAGCGAGUGCAGGCGGUCUUUUAAGUCUGAUGUGAAAGCCUUCGGCUUAACCGAAGAAGGGCAUCGGAAACUGGAGACUUGAGUGCAGAAGAGGAGAGUGGAACUCCAUGUGUAGCGGUGAAAUGCGUAGAUAUAUGGAAGAACACCAGUGGCGAAGGCGGCUCUCUGGUCUGUAACUGACGCUGAGGCUCGAAAGCGUGGGUAGCAAACAGGAUUAGAUACCCUGGUAGU
RNAcentral lists this ribosomal RNA (446 nucleotides) under uncultured bacterium. RNAcentral's name for it is "partial 16S ribosomal RNA". It matches the Rfam family "Bacterial small subunit ribosomal RNA", at positions 355 to 794 of the family's 1533-position model. The record is from RNAcentral.